Molecule: ribosomal RNA, 1419 nt
Filed under: Chryseobacterium sp. WPCB010
Lineage: Bacteria; Pseudomonadati; Bacteroidota; Flavobacteriia; Flavobacteriales; Weeksellaceae
Description: bacterial SSU rRNA
Rfam family: Bacterial small subunit ribosomal RNA
Source: RNAcentral
GAACGCUAGCGGGAGGCCUAACACAUGCAAGCCGAGCGGUAUUUGUCCUUCGGGACAGAGAGAGCGGCGUACGGGUGCGGAACACGUGUGCAACCUACCUUUAUCAGGGGGAUAGCCUUUCGAAAGGAAGAUUAAUACCCCAUAAUAUAAACCAAGGCAUCUUGAUUUAUUGAAAACUCCGGUGGAUAGAGAUGGGCACGCGCAAGAUUAGAUAGUUGGUAGGGUAACGGCCUACCAAGUCAGUGAUCUUUAGGGGGCCUGAGAGGGUGAUCCCCCACACUGGUACUGAGACACGGACCAGACUCCUACGGGAGGCAGCAGUGAGGAAUAUUGGACAAUGGGUGAGAGCCUGAUCCAGCCAUCCCGCGUGAAGGACGACGGCCCUAUGGGUUGUAAACUUCUUUUGUAUAGGGAUAAACCUACUCUCGUGAGAGUAGCUGAAGGUACUAUACGAAUAAGCACCGGCUAACUCCGUGCCAGCAGCCGCGGUAAUACGGAGGGUGCAAGCGUUAUCCGGAUUUAUUGGGUUUAAAGGGUCCGUAGGCGGGCUUGUAAGUCAGUGGUGAAAUCUCAUAGCUUAACUAUGAAACUGCCAUUGAUACUGCAGGUCUUGAGUAAAGUAGAAGUGGCUGGAAUAAGUAGUGUAGCGGUGAAAUGCAUAGAUAUUACUUAGAACACCAAUUGCGAAGGCAGGUCACUAUGUUUUAACUGACGCUGAUGGACGAAAGCGUGGGGAGCGAACAGGAUUAGAUACCCUGGUAGUCCACGCCGUAAACGAUGCUAACUCGUUUUUGGGKCUUCGGCUUCAGAGACUAAGCGAAAGUGAUAAGUUAGCCACCUGGGGAGUACGUUCGCAAGAAUGAAACUCAAAGGAAUUGACGGGGGCCCGCACAAGCGGUGGAUUAUGUGGUUUAAUUCGAUGAUACGCGAGGAACCUUACCAAGGCUUAAAUGGGAAUUGACAGGUUUAGAAAUAGACUUUUCUUCGGACAAUUUUCAAGGUGCUGCAUGGUUGUCGUCAGCUCGUGCCGUGAGGUGUUAGGUUAAGUCCUGCAACGAGCGCAACCCCUGUCACUAGUUGCCAUCAUUCAGUUGGGGACUCUAGUGAGACUGCCUACGCAAGUAGAGAGGAAGGUGGGGAUGACGUCAAAUCAUCACGGCCCUUACGCCUUGGGCCACACACGUAAUACAAUGGCCGGUACAGAGGGCAGCUACCUAGCGAUAGGAUGCGAAUCUCGAAAGCCGGUCUCAGUUCGGAUUGGAGUCUGCAACUCGACUCUAUGAAGCUGGAAUCGCUAGUAAUCGCAUAUCAGCCAUGAUGCGGUGAAUACGUUCCCGGGCCUUGUACACACCGCCCGUCAAGCCAUGGAAGUUUGGGGUACCUGAAGUCGGUGACCGUAACAGGAGCUGCCUAGGGUAA